RNAcentral lists this ribosomal RNA (525 nucleotides) under Starmerella bombicola. RNAcentral's name for it is "eukaryotic LSU rRNA". It matches the Rfam family "Eukaryotic large subunit ribosomal RNA", at positions 38 to 667 of the family's 3401-position model. Lineage: Eukaryota; Fungi; Ascomycota; Dipodascomycetes; Dipodascales; Trichomonascaceae. The record is from RNAcentral.
GCAUAUCAAUAAGCGGAGGAAAAGAAACCAACAGGGAUUGCCUUAGUAACGGCGAGUGAACAGGCAAGAGCUCAGAUUUGAAAGCCUUUCGGGGCAUUGUAUUCUGAAGCCUUGAUUCUGAGAACCGGUACCUAAGUCUUCUGGAAAGGAGCGCCAAGGAGGGUGAUAGCCCCGUACGGUACUGACCUCAUUGUAGAAUCUUGGCGUGGAGUCGAGUUGUUUGGGAAUGCAGCUCAAAUGGGUGGUAUGCUCCAUCUAAAGCUAAAUAUCUGCGAGAGACCGAUAGCGAACAAGUACUGUGAAGGAAAGAUGAAAAGAACUUUGAAAAGAGAGUGAAAAAGUACGUGAAAUUGUUGAAAUGGAAGGAUAGGCCGCUAACCACGUAGAGCCGUGUCUGAGGGGAGGAUAAAAGCUGUAGAAUGUGGCUCUUCGGAGUGUUAUAGCUGCAGUGCAUACUCCCACUCGGGCGCGAGGACCUAAGGCUCUGCUAAAUGGUGGUCUAUCACCCGUCUUGAAACACGGACC